UCUAAUGUGUAUGUGUAAUAUAACAAGGUCACUUUGGUGACUAACAAGUUAUAUACAAUAUAAACACUAAAAAACUUUAAUAGGUAAAUUUAUCUUUAUAUUAUGUUAAUAUUUUAAAACUAAACCAGACAUUUCACUUAAUCAACCUAAACCAACAGUUUAAGCCAUAUUCUUUAACAAUGAACGCUUUUAUCCAUAUGCCAUAAACGAUCAAUUCCCAGAACAUGUAUAUGCAACUUUAACAAUGAUUCAUUUAUUAGAAACAGAAUCUAAUUAGAACAGUUAUUUCAAUCAUCAAAUGCAUUUACGUGAAUGAUCAAAACACCACUAACCAUCAUUUCUAUGAUUCCAUCUACGACACUUACAUGCACACACAAUAAAAAAACUGUUCGUUAUUGCAAGUGCAACAGAAUCUAACCAUUGAAUUUCAACCUUAAUAAUUCCACAUGUUCCCAACAAUAAAAGGUUACGAUCAUGGUGACGAACAAAAGUUACGAUCAUGCAACAAAAUUCCAGAACCGUUUAUAAACCUUUUAACAUGCGUCGACAGUGAUGAAAGAACAUGGUAAAUUAAUAAAUCUAGAUCUGCUCUGAUACCAAAAUAUUAAUCUAACUUUAUGAUUUCUAUUAUGAAAUCUAAAUCCCAAAGAUCAUCUAGAUUUAAUUUAAUUCAACCAUGAACAGUCUCUUAUAAAAGAAGAAACACUAACCUUGAUCCAUUGCUUGAUUGGGUUUGAUGAUGGAUUCAAGUCUUCUUCACAGAUUGAUUUCUUCUUCCCUUACUCCUUAUUGCUUUCCUGUGAUCUUUGAUGAAGAAGAUCACUAAUCUCUUCUUUUGUUUUUAAUCAGUG
RNAcentral lists this long non-coding RNA (851 nucleotides) under Capsella rubella. RNAcentral's name for it is "long non-coding RNA (CRUB_LNC000699)". Lineage: Eukaryota; Viridiplantae; Streptophyta; Magnoliopsida; Brassicales; Brassicaceae. The record is from RNAcentral.